RNAcentral lists this transfer RNA (72 nucleotides) under Camelus bactrianus (Bactrian camel). It matches the Rfam family "tRNA". From Rfam's summary of the family: Transfer RNA (tRNA) molecules are approximately 80 nucleotides in length. Their secondary structure includes four short double-helical elements and three loops (D, anti-codon, and T loops). Further hydrogen bonds mediate the characteristic L-shaped molecular structure. tRNAs have two regions of fundamental functional importance: the anti-codon, which is responsible for specific mRNA codon recognition, and the 3' end, to which the tRNAs corresponding amino acid is attached (by aminoacyl-tRNA synthetases). tRNAs cope with the degeneracy of the genetic code in two manners: having more than one tRNA (with a specific anti-codon) for a particular amino acid; and 'wobble' base-pairing, i.e. permitting non-standard base-pairing at the 3rd anti-codon position. The record is from Rfam by way of RNAcentral. RNAcentral also lists the same sequence under 3 other names. Lineage: Eukaryota; Metazoa; Chordata; Mammalia; Artiodactyla; Camelidae.
GAGGGCAUAGCUCAGUGGUAGAGUGUGUGCUUAGCAUGCAUGAGAUCCUGGGUUCAAUCCCCAAUACUCCCA